Molecule: ribosomal RNA, 484 nt
Filed under: uncultured bacterium
Lineage: Bacteria
Description: partial 16S ribosomal RNA
Rfam family: Bacterial small subunit ribosomal RNA
Source: RNAcentral
AUUGUACGCUGGCGGAAUGCUUUACACAUGCAAGUCGAACGGCAGCACGGGGGCAACCCUGGUGGCGAGUGGCGAACGGGUGAGUAAUACAUCGGAACGUGCCCGGUCGUGGGGGAUAACGUAGCGAAAGUUACGCUAAUACCGCAUACGAUCUGAGGAUGAAAGCGGGGGACCUUCGGGCCUCGCGCGAUCGGAGCGGCCGAUGUCAGAUUAGGUAGUUGGUGGGGUAAAGGCCUACCAAGCCGACGAUCUGUAGCUGGUCUGAGAGGACGACCAGCCACACUGGGACUGAGACACGGCCCAGACUCCUACGGGAGGCAGCAGUGGGGAAUUUUGGACAAUGGGCGCAAGCCUGAUCCAGCCAUUCCGCGUGCAGGACGAAGGCCUUCGGGUUGUAAACUGCUUUUGUAUGGAACGAAAAGGCUCUGGCUAAUACCUGGGGCUCAUGACGGUACCGUAAGAAUAAGCACCGGCUAACUACGUG